GCCAUGCUGCUGUGAUCUAUAAAUAAGUAGGAUUUAAUUUUCAGCUGGUAUGUUGGAGAGAUUUGUCUGGAUGUUGGGUGCCCACUAAGCCAUUCUAUGACUCCCUCUUUUUAGAUAGAGAAGGAAGAGAAAAUGUCAUGGAAAGCUCAUUGUUGUGAUAAGGGCUGGGAGAGAUCACUCACCUAUUACCAUCAAAACAGACUCAACUUGGAAAUAAACAUUAAUAAUCACAUCAAAGUAGAAUAAUGACAAAUAAAGUCUAAUUAUAAAACACCUCACCCAGCCCUGACUUUGUUCCAGGCUCAGCUCUACUCCUGAUUCUUUCACCUCCCCUUAGCCAGUGGCCAAARGUAGAUGGGGAAUGGGGGCUGUGGUAAGAACAACACAAAUUGCCUUUGACAUUCCUCCCUCCUCAGUUCUCUCCUCUCCAAUGGGAGGCAGUCCUCCACAAACUUCUCCAACAUCCAUUCCUAGGGCUACACUUCUUCAGAACCUCCAUCUCUUUGUGUUCCUUCCACAGUGCACAAUCCUUCAGAAACCAGCUGCUCCAGUGUGGAUUCCCCAUGGGCUCACCAGCCCUACAAGCAAACUCUCUCCAYAGGCCCACUGUUCCCUGCCAGGAGCCUGCUCCAGCAUGGGCUUCAGAGCAUGAGAACAUUUUGUAUUCUUGMCAGAGUAAGCAUCUAUAUUAAAGCAAAUAUAAGUGCAAAAGAUGUCUUUUCCAUUACAUUAUGUUCAAGAAUUCACUGUGCGGUCAAGGAAUGACACAGAUCAGUCUGAAAAGCAGUACUGAGCAUCUGUUUUGUUGGACCUGGACAGAAAUCCCACAGCUUUGGACUUGUGCCUCUCCAAACAUUCCUGGAAUUUAAGGAAAAAAAACGCCAAAAAACAAGCCACUGGCUGGAUUAACAAAAUGGAUGAAUAAUUUUAUGACCACUCACUAAUAACARAUGUAGCUGUGCAACUUAAUGAGAGAGCUAAUCAGCAUUCACUUUGUGGGGCAAACUUGAUAACCUCCUUUGCAAUGCUCUGCCUUCUCCUCAGCCCUCGAAUAGAAUAACUGCUGGGGGAGGACUGAAAGGCUUGAAAGAACAGUGAGCUAAUCUGAGCGUAUUUUGUACCCUUYGGGCAACAUUCAAGUUGCCCUGAAGUCAGUUCUAGGAAAUGAUGGGUGGGAUAAAGGCAGGCUUAAAGUAAGUGAAAAGAAGAGAUGCAAUAAAAUUAGAAUGUUUGGUUUUUAAUCCAAUUUAGAGCAUGUGAAUAGUAUACCUGCCAUAAUGUGCACACUGAUAUGUAUGAUUUGCAUUGAACUUAGUUACUGGGCACCUUGUAAUCAAAAUAUUGUUUUACCUAAUGUGUGGCAUUACCUGCUGGAGAAAUAAGGGAUAAAUCCAUGCAUGAAAUUUUAGUUCUGU
Long non-coding RNA from Malurus melanocephalus (red-backed fairy wren), 1415 nucleotides. RefSeq lists it as uncharacterized. The transcript is spliced from 4 exons. The record is from RefSeq and is a predicted model, not a curated record. Lineage: Eukaryota; Metazoa; Chordata; Aves; Passeriformes; Maluridae.